CCUACGGGGUGCAGCAGUGGGGAAUAUUGCGCAAUGGGCGAAAGCCUGACGCAGCGACACCGCGUGAGGGAUGAAGGUCUUCGGAUCGUAAACCUCUGUCAGCAGGGAAGAACGGUCACUGUGCUAAUCAGCAGUGAAUUGACGGUACCUGCAAAGGAAGCACCGGCGAACUCCGGCCCAGCAGCCGGGGUAAUACGGAGGGUGCGAGCGUUAAUCGGAAUUCCGGGGCGUAAAGCGCUCGUAGGCGGUAUGUUAAGUGAAGGGUGAAAUCCCCGCGCUCAACGUUGGCACGGCCUUUGAAACUGGCAAACUGGAGUGUGUGAGAGGAUAGUGGAAUUCCAGGUGUAGGAGUGAAAUCCGUAGAUAUCUGGAGGAACAUCAGUGGCGAAGGCGACUAUCUGGCACAUAACUGACGCUGAGGAGCGAAAGCGUGGGUAGCAAACAGGAUUAGAUACCCGGGUAGUC
This 465-nucleotide ribosomal RNA is filed under the name uncultured bacterium. RNAcentral's name for it is "partial 16S ribosomal RNA". It matches the Rfam family "Bacterial small subunit ribosomal RNA", at positions 338 to 795 of the family's 1533-position model. The record is from RNAcentral.